AGUGAACGCUGGCGGUAGGCCUAACACAUGCAAGUCGAACGGCAGCACAGUAAGAGCUUGCACUUACGGGUGGCGAGUGGCGGACGGGUGAGGAAUACAUCGGAAUCUACUUUUUCGUGGGGGAUAACGUAGGGAAACCUACGCUAAUACCGCAUACGACCUACGGGUGAAAGCAGGGGAUCUUCGGACCUUGCGCGAUUGAAUGAGCCGAUGUCGGAUUAGCUAGUUGGCGGGGUAAAGGCCCACCAAGGCGACGAUCCGUAGCUGGUCUGAGAGGAUGAUCAGCCACACUGGAACUGAGACACGGUCCAGACUCCUACGGGAGGCAGCAGUGGGGAAUAUUGGACAAUGGGCGCAAGCCCGAUCCAGCCAUACCGCGUGGGUGAAGAAGGCCUUCGGGUUGUAAAGCCCUUUUGUUGGGAAAGAAAAGCAGCAGGUUAAUACCCCGCUGUUCUGACGGUACCCAAAGAAUAAGCACCGGCUAACUUCGUG
RNAcentral lists this ribosomal RNA (492 nucleotides) under uncultured bacterium. RNAcentral describes it as "partial 16S ribosomal RNA". It matches the Rfam family "Bacterial small subunit ribosomal RNA", at positions 29 to 507 of the family's 1533-position model. The record is from RNAcentral.